Molecule: long non-coding RNA, 1071 nt
Filed under: Betta splendens (Siamese fighting fish)
Lineage: Eukaryota; Metazoa; Chordata; Actinopteri; Anabantiformes; Osphronemidae
Description: lncRNA (ENSBSLG00000019375.1)
Source: RNAcentral
AUGAUGGCGCGGCUGACGGCAGAGCGCUGGCACAGCAACACGCCGCAAACAAGGAGCGAGCGUGUAAACUACAGCAAACAAAGCCCCGACGCCGGAUCCUCCCACCUGCACGACAGCGCUGAUGAAACACACAGUAACAGAGCAGCCAUUAGCUGCGAGCGGCGGAACAACGUGGGGGGGGCGUCGCACACACACACACACGCUCGAACAUACACACACACACACGCUCGAACAUACACACACAUGCUCACACACACACACGCUCGAACAUACACACACACACACGAACAUACACACGCACACACACACACACGCUCGAACAUACACACACACACACACAAACAUACACACACACACACGCUCGAACAUACACACGCACACACGCUCGAACAUACACACACAUGCUCACACACACACACGCUCGAACAUACACACACACACACGAACAUACACACGCACACACACACACACGCUCGAACAUACACACACACACACACAAACAUACACACACACACGCUCGAACAUACACACACACACACGCUCGAACAUACACACACAUGCUCACACACACACACGCUCGAACAUACACACACACACACGAACAUACACACGCACACACACACACACGCUCGAACAUACACACACACACACACAAACAUACACACACACACGCUCGAACAUACACACGCACACACGCUCAAACAUACACACACACACACGCUCGAACAUACACAAACACACACACAAACAUACACACACACACGCACGAACAUACACACACACACACACAAACAUACACACACACACACGCUCGAACAUACACACACACACACGAACAUACAGACGCACACACACACACACACACACACACGCACGCACACACACACACACACACACACACACACACACGCACGCACGCACACACACACCAGCGUGUUCGUUAUCAUCCUGGUUGUGUUGUUUUCUCCCACUCCUCACACAUCCUCCUCUUUGCAUAGUGGGGCUUUGUUACCUGCACAGGGUGACAGGCUAAAGGCACCGACGGCCAAAUCUCUGCCAAUGAGGCAAUAA